AGAAGUGUAAGUUAAUUUUAAAACUUUGUGGUUCAUGUUCAUGCAAUAUAUCUUUGAUAUCUCUUCUU
Molecule: transfer RNA, 68 nt
Filed under: Diplostomum ardeae
Lineage: Eukaryota; Metazoa; Platyhelminthes; Trematoda; Diplostomida; Diplostomidae
Description: tRNA-Met
Source: RNAcentral